GACGAACCGUGCGAACGUUGUUCGGAUUCACUGGGCUUAAAGGGCGCGUAGGCGGGCGACCAAGUCAGGGGUGAAAUCUUUCGGCUCAACCGGAAAAUAGCUUCUGAUACUGGCCGUCUUGAGGGAGGUAGGGGUCUGUGGAACUUCUGGUGGAGCGGUGAAAUGCGUAGAUAUCAGAAGGAACGCCGGUGGCGAAAGCGACGGACUGGAUCUCUUCUGACGCUGAGGCGCGAAAGCUAGGGGAGCGAACGGG
This 253-nucleotide ribosomal RNA is filed under the name uncultured bacterium. Its description in RNAcentral is "partial 16S ribosomal RNA". It matches the Rfam family "Bacterial small subunit ribosomal RNA", at positions 524 to 776 of the family's 1533-position model. The record is from RNAcentral.